UACGAAGGGGGCUAGCGUUGUUCGGAAUUACUGGGCGUAAAGGGCGCGCAGGCGGCUCUUCAAGUCAGAUGUGAAAGCCCCGGGCUCAACCUGGGAACUGCAUUUGAGACUGGAGAGCUUGAGUUCGGGAGAGGAGAGCGGAAUUCCCAGUGUAGAGGUGAAAUUCGUAGAUAUUCGCAAGAACACCAGUGGCGAAGGCGGCUCACUGGCCCGGUACUGACGCUGAGGCACGAAAGCGUGGGGAGCAAACAGG
RNAcentral lists this ribosomal RNA (253 nucleotides) under uncultured bacterium. Its description in RNAcentral is "partial 16S ribosomal RNA". It matches the Rfam family "Bacterial small subunit ribosomal RNA", at positions 524 to 776 of the family's 1533-position model. The record is from RNAcentral.